AGUGAACGCUGGCGGUAGGCCUAACACAUGCAAGUCGAACGGCAGCACAGUAAGAGCUUGCUCUUACGGGUGGCGAGUGGCGGACGGGUGAGGAAUACAUCGAAAUCUACUUUUUCGCGGGGGAUAACGUAGGGAAACUUACGCUAAUACCGCAUACGACCUACGGGUGAAAGCAGGGGAUCUUCGGACCUUGCGCGAUUGAAUGAGCCGAUGUCGGAUUAGCUAGUUGGCGGGGUAAAGGCCCACCAAGGCGACGAUCCGUAGCUGGUCUGAGAGGAUGAUCAGCCACACUGGAACUGAGACACGGUCCAGACUCCUACGGGAGGCAGCAGUGGGGAAUAUUGGACAAUGGGCGCAAGCCUGAUCCAGCCAUACCGCGUGGGUGAAGAAGGCCUUCGGGUUGUAAAGCCCUUUUGUUGGGAAAGAAGGGCAGCAGGUUAAUACCCCGCUGUUCUGACGGUACCCAAAGAAUAAGCACCGGCUAACUUCGUG
This 492-nucleotide ribosomal RNA is filed under the name uncultured bacterium. RNAcentral's name for it is "partial 16S ribosomal RNA". It matches the Rfam family "Bacterial small subunit ribosomal RNA", at positions 29 to 507 of the family's 1533-position model. The record is from RNAcentral.